UUAGCUUUGCAGAAGGAUAUGCAGGGAGUGCCAGCCAGAUACAGUAGCUGAAGCAGGUCUGGGGGAGCCGAAGCAAGCCAAAACCGCAUGAAGAGGCUCCUCUGUGGCUUUGCGCGCAGAGAGGAGGAAAACUUUCAAAAUCACUGAAGGCUUAGGUCAAGACUGAAGAGCAACCAGCCACGUGGAUUCCUUGCUUUUGGGGUGAGGCAAAGCCACUUUAAGGAUUCUGGGAUAUGCGACAGCCAAGAAACACUUUCAGGUUGUAUUUCCAUGGCUACUUGGAGAUGGAUACUUUUGUUACAGUUGGUUGAGAUGGUUGAAGUUCAGAGACAUGAAUUCCACCGUCCACUGAGAGCCAUCGCUGGGUCAUAUGGCGGGGACCACGUAAAGCCUGAGAGGAAAGCAGACCACCGGCUUUACAAGAGAGAGAAACAAGUGGAGCUGAAGGCACAGUGGUAGACUGCUAGCCUGGCAGACACAAAGCCCUGCGUGUGGGUCCCAGCAUUGCAUAGACUGGAGAUAGUGGCCCAGCACUGGAGAGGAUCACAAGUUCAAGGUUAUUAUCAGUGCAUUGGGAGUUUAUGGCCAGCCUGGGCUAUAUGAGACUUUGUCAAAAACAAACAGGAGAAGAAGAAGAAGAAGAAGAAGAAGAAGAAGAAGAAGAAGAAGAAGAAGAAGAAGAAGAAGAAGAAGAAGAAGCCCCAAUUUAAAAAUUAACCCUAACUGGGCCCCUCUCUGUCCCGUCUAGCUCUAAGGGGAGCCUGCUGGCUGGGUGGCUUAGACACACAGAGCUGGCAGGCUGAGGCCACAUCUACCUUCUGUUCUUCACUGGAAGUAGGGCUGAGGCCCACAGAGACAGCAGAAAGCAUAGUCGAGAGUGACCAUCUCUGGAAACCAGGUGUCCAGUAGAGGAUGGGAAAUAAGAAGGGAUUUUUUUGGGGCUGCCUGCAGGACAGCAGAGCCUCUCUUGUGAGCAGCAGCCAGCCCCACACACAUGAGAACCCCGUGAAGCACGAAGGAGGACACCCAGGAGAAAUGUAGGGGACAGUUGCAGGUCAACACAGGGUAGGGUGCCCGGUUCUGCCAUGAAGCAGAGUCCCUUCCUCAUAAGAUCUGAAAGCAUCCCUUCUCACACUGUCUCAAACCUUGCAGGCCAGUCCAAGCCACCAGCCCCAGCAACUUUGUUUGCCAUGGAAAGCAGGGCUUUGGACUGCCACUUCUGGCCCACCGCCUAGGACAAGGCCAUGCUCCGAAGGUCCUGAGAAGUUCUGCAGUCCCAGCUUUGCAGAUCUGUUCCCAUUGUGGAGGCAGCAGAAAAGUCAUUAUUGCCCAGGGCCUGUCCCCAACCUGCCCUGAGGUGUUCCUCCCAACCCUCCACCGUCCACACCCUGUUUUGUUUGUUUGUUUGUUUGUUUUUGUUGUUGUUGUUUUUAACUCCACUGCUCUGGUUUCUGCAUUAGUGUGGCACAGUGUGCGUUUCUUAAUGGUUGUAUUGCCUCUUUCUUAGAAGAGUAGCCACAGACUGCAGUGUGGGGGCUAUUUUACUGUCAACAGGUGCUUAAACUAAUCACUGGGAGAGUGGAGAAGUAGAAAAGAGGAAAGAAGUGGGGGAAAAGGGAGAACAAAGAAAUCAUCUUCCCUUGGAUGAUGGCUGCAUGGAUGGAGGGAAGAGGAAGAGAAGGGGGAAGGAGAAACAGGAAGAAAAUGGGAAGUGAGGGAGAGAAGGAAGGAGUGAAAAGAGAGGAAAUGGGACAGACAGAUAGAUGGGUGGAACCAUCUUGGUUUCAUCUUAGCACAAGAAAGCUGGUGUGAUGGUUCAUGUGGAGAUGCUCCCAUGCCUGCAGGUGGAAACAAAGGAGACAAAGAAGAGAGCAACCACAGCUCAGCACUGGUUUGGAGAAACUGAGGACUGGCCCCUGGCCCCUGGCCCCUGGCCCCUGUCAGCAAGCCAUAUAUGUGGGUUCCUUGGCAGCCAGGGCCACAGUAGCCCAGGACCCUGGGAUGGGACAAAGGAUUGUGGGAGCAUGAUGGGCUCCCUCUGUGAGCCUUGCAUGCAGAGCGUGGUGUGUGGCUCCCACUGUCUCCUCAUUAGAUGAGGGGACUUGGCUCUGAGAGGAAAGGUGUUUUCAUAUCCUCUUGACUCAUUUUCCCCAUCCUGGCCCAACAGAGGAAAAGCCUGAGCAGGUUUGUCCACCAAGGCCAGCUCUUGAUCUGGAGAGACUUGGAGAAGGGCCUCCACAGUGGGUUCUGAGCUCACCUGAGGGGAAUGAGGAGCCUGAGAUGGAGACAUUAGGCAGGCAGAAGGGGAGGGGGGUGACUGGGUAGGCCACUGAGCCCAUAGUGUUCCCUGACCCUUUGAUCCAUUCUCUCUCCUGUCUUGGUAGCAAUGGCUCAGCACACUCCCAUGGCCACCUCUCAUAAAGUCACAUGGGCCGAAGGGCCCCUCUCCUCCCCUCAGAAAGAGAUGAAGGGUUUUCCGGAGACAAGGAAGACUUUACAUGUCUAUCUUUUCUUCCUGGUGUCCCAAAGGUCCUCUUCCUCUCCUCAGCUCCUCUUCUACCUGAGACAUGGCUCCUGGCCUAAGUGGAGGUCCCAUGCCUUCUAAGAGAAAUGUUGCUUCCAAAUUUGGAACUAGUGGAUAGCAAGGCUCAGAAAAUUUCACCCUGAGGAUUGGAAAACUGGACCUAGUUGAUGAAGAAGUGCUGGAAGGACCCAGAAGUUUCUGGAGGAUGAGGCAAAGGGCCAGGAGGAGAAGUGGGGGCCUGGUGGCCCUGUCUCCACCCCCCAUUCCUUCCUCCUCAUUUAUAAUCUGUGAGGUUGUCUUUAUUUCAUCAGACACUGGAGCAGACAAGUGUGGGAAACUGAAGAGGGAGGACCUUUCAAGAGCCCUAAGAAGAGGAGGUGGACCGGAGUGGGUAGGGAGGGGGAGAUGGAGGAAUGAGGAGGGAAGAGGGAGAGAGAGGGGAGGAGAUGGAGAGACAUGGGCUGGGGCUGGGGGCACAGAGUCACAGCCAGCCAGCUAGGAGGGAGGGCAUGGGGGCUGUGGUCCCCCAAGUCCCCUGGAAGGAGGGAGGGUUUAUCUCACCAGGAACAGCAGCUCAGCCACUGAUCUAAUCAAAUUAUUCAGCAUUAAAAACUGCCAAGACAUUCCGGGACUUCAGCUCCCGGAGCCCCAGCUGGGAUCAAAUGCUAACCAACGUCGCUGCGAUAUUUAUUCCCACUGUCAGCUGCUGCUGGUCGCUUGUUUUCCGAGGGCUGCAUACUAAAAUAGAGGCCCUGGAGGGAUGGGGGUGAGGGUGAGGGGGCUAUCUGGAAAGAAGGCAAGCAGGUAGGGGGGACGAAUGCCCCUAGAACCCAGCACAGGGUCUCUUAAUUGUCCCCAGGCCACUGUCCUCCCAUUUCAAGCCCCUUUCAGGCCAGCUAGCUGAGGUUUUGAGCUGAGACACUUAACCUUGAAAGUUGGUCUGAGUGACUCCGGGUAGGUGACUCUCCUUGUCUGAACUCCUACUCCAUCCCCUGGAGCAUGGGGUCCCCUUUGCUAUGCAUUUAAUAAGAGGAAGAAAAUAACAGGAGUAGCUUCAUGGGGCCUGCUGCAGAGCACGAACAGCCCUGGCUGUGUGGUGUUCUCAGAGGUACUUGCCCUCUCUGUGUCUCGGUUUCUACCUCCAUAAAAACAGACGUGGUGAUCAGAGUCAAGCCCAGAAGUCGGCUAUCUCAUGGUUAAAGGAAGAUCAGUAUACCAGAGGACUGUGGUGAGAGCCCAGUGUGUACUGGAAACAGUUCCUGUGCAACAGCAAGGUGGGACGGUGAAUAUACCAUUCAGCAGUGCCCCUGGAGACAAAUGCCAGCCAGGGCAGAAGAUGAUUCUGUCCUGUCGGAGGGUGAAGGUGCCGGGUGCUGGGAUCCCCAUGAGGGGUCUCUGUAGCCACACACAGAGUGAACAUCCCUGCAAGUUGAAGUUCAGAGGCCAUUCUUGCCCCUCAGGACAGAAGCAGCCAAGCAGAAGGACUGUGAGCCUUCGGGACACGAGUCUGCCGCCAUCUCCCUGAAGGUCAUGGCACCCAGGGAAGACUAAUUAAUUUCCUUUGUUUUUCAGAGUUUCAUUUUUUUAAAUUACAGACUCCCUCCUCUGUAAUAAAUACUCAACAAUUAAAGCGUUUUUUUUU
This is a long non-coding RNA of Meriones unguiculatus (Mongolian gerbil), 4166 nucleotides long. RefSeq lists it as uncharacterized. The record is from RefSeq and is a predicted model, not a curated record. The transcript has 3 exons. Lineage: Eukaryota; Metazoa; Chordata; Mammalia; Rodentia; Muridae.